GUGGAUGAGAGGGAGACAGAGAAGAGAGGUGAGAGAGUAAUAGGAUACGGCAUGUGUCAAAAUUGAUUGAUUGCUGACCUUAUGACCUGAUGACAUGUACAGAAUAUGUGCCCCCGCCCCGCCCCCUGUUCGUGUGGUCAUGUGUUAGAGGGUGUUUGAACUUUUGGGGCCCAUGCCCCCCUCCACCCCCCAGUUUUAUCUCCCUUAUGGUUGUUAUCUAUGAAGCAGGAAUGUCUGGGGCUAUAGAUAGCGCUGGGGCCUCAGCAUUAUAAAUGUCCAGAACAAGCCAUUUUUUAAGACCUGAAUAUUAAGCAUCUAAAAAUAUGUCUACAAGGGGAAUUCUCGGAGUGCUCUGUAGCUCAUGUCACGAACCCAAUGCCAAAAGCUUGGAGGAUAUUUUGGUAGAGGCUCCCGAAUGUUUUAACGGAUUUCUGUGUACAAGCGAGGGCCAUAUUUCGUACAUAUUCAACCCGGAGGAAUCUACGGUUAAGAUAUUCACAGACAGCGUGUCCCAACCCUUUUAUCGUGCAGAACCCGAGCCUUUUUCUCUAGCGCUAAGGAUGCGAGAAUGGCUUAAAAUAAGGCUAGCUUUGUGUCAAAUGGAACGUGCCCUGAGUGCUUCAAGGCUGCCAGGAUAUGCGUUGGAAGAACAAGUCUGUGGACGUCAGGAUCUAAUGGCCCUGAGAGUCACAUCCAUGGGUUAUACCCCGGACUCCAGAGUGACAAUUUUAGCAUGUGAACAAUUUGACAGGUCAAAUGCUACGAAAACGGUCAGUUCAUAUGUAUCCUCCAAAGCAUGCAAGGAUGUAAAUUUUUUUCAAAUAAUGUUCAGUUUUAAAUGGCGCGAUUACCACAUUUUCCGAACCCUGAUGAAUAAGCUGGACAGUCUUUUCGAAAAUCGUGAACAAUUACGGCGAUGGCCUAGGUUAUCGUUGAGACAUACCCCGGAACAACAUAGGUUAUCGUUGAGACAUACACCGGAACAACAACAAGUUCGAAGGCGGAUCUUUCCCUGGCAGGAAAGUGGACAGAGCUUCGACGGAGCGCGGAAAAGACUUUGUGAUGGGGAAAUGGAAACGGAUAAUGUUCAGGGCUAACAGGACCCCAUAUAUCUCUUUUACGCGAUUUACCUGAUCUGGAACAUGAUGGGGGUUCGCAGGAGCAAAAGUCUGGCAGACAAUCACCAACGGCCUUUUUUCGUUCCGACAUACAGCCCUUUAUGAUAAAGGAUGCGUUAUGGACAGCUGACACGCAGGACUUUGAUGCAAUUCUACCGUUCACUGUGGCCCAAGUACACUGCUCAGAAUCAAGCCCACCCGAAAACUACUGUUGGGCCGGGAACUUGCUGCUUCACGAGCCGGCGCUCCAGGGACAAGACUGCCCGGAGACAGACCCAGCAGAAUCUGGUCACACACCCCCGGUUUCGGCGAUUCGUCACAACAAGCGCCAAAAAAAGCCGAGACUCCGCACCGGCGAAAAACGGCACAGACGACCACAUAAAUCUAGAGCUGGGGGAUUCCGGCGCCCCGAGCAUUCCGAAUGAAACACCCAAGAGACCUGUUUUUAAUGACAUGUCAGAUGUUGAUGACCAGCUAUUCUGUGAUGCGGCCAACCUUAUAGACCCAGUCAAUUCUACGGCCUCAAUACCUGCAGCCGAACAAGAAAGGUUUUUCACAUUAUUUUCCAGGGCUUUGAAAUCGAGGAAUGUUUUGCUAUACAAACGACUGGGGGAUUUAAUUGAGAGACAGUACAGAGACGAUAUGUUAUUCUGGCAUAGAACAAUUCCACGCAUGUUAAACAGCA
Oncorhynchus nerka (sockeye salmon) is the source of this 1803-nucleotide long non-coding RNA. RefSeq lists it as uncharacterized. The record is from RefSeq and is a predicted model, not a curated record. The transcript has 5 exons. Lineage: Eukaryota; Metazoa; Chordata; Actinopteri; Salmoniformes; Salmonidae.